GUAGGUGGCAAGCGUUGUCCGGAAUUAUUGGGCGUAAAGCGCGCGCAGGCGGUCCUUUAAGUCUGAUGUGAAAGCCCACGGCUCAACCGUGGAGGGUCAUUGGAAACUGGGGGACUUGAGUACAGAAGAGGAAAGCGGAAUUCCAAGUGUAGCGGUGAAAUGCGUAGAGAUUUGGAGGAACACCAGUGGCGAAGGCGGCUUUCUGGUCUGUAACUGACGCUGAGGCGCGAAAGCGUGGGGAGCAAACAGGGAUUAGAUACCCUGGUAGUCCACGCCGUAAACGAUGAGUGCUAAGUGUUAGGGGGUUCCCGCCCCUUAGUGCUGCAGCUAACGCAUUAAGCACUCCGCCUGGGGAGUACGCCGCAAGGCUG
This 371-nucleotide ribosomal RNA is filed under the name uncultured organism. RNAcentral describes it as "partial 16S ribosomal RNA". It matches the Rfam family "Bacterial small subunit ribosomal RNA", at positions 527 to 896 of the family's 1533-position model. The record is from RNAcentral.